AAUGGGCAAGAAUGAUGAUUCAAUUAGAUGUUUGAAUGGAUUAAUCUUAAUCCAUUCUGAAAUUAAACUCUUGAGGCAUUUGGAAUUGGCUGACUUGCUGUU
Mercurialis annua (annual mercury) is the source of this 102-nucleotide small nucleolar RNA. RefSeq annotates it as small nucleolar RNA Z266. Lineage: Eukaryota; Viridiplantae; Streptophyta; Magnoliopsida; Malpighiales; Euphorbiaceae. The record is from RefSeq and is a predicted model, not a curated record. The transcript has a single exon.